Molecule: long non-coding RNA, 379 nt
Filed under: Cicer arietinum (chickpea)
Lineage: Eukaryota; Viridiplantae; Streptophyta; Magnoliopsida; Fabales; Fabaceae
Description: long non-coding RNA (CARI_LNC001054)
Source: RNAcentral
AGAAACUAUAGUGUUGUUGCUAAGGUCCAACCUUCUUGAGUAUUUCAAUUUAAUGGGAUUUUAAUUUUCUCAUAAUUAAUUAACUACCCUUAAACUUUUAUCUGCUUGACAUAGUGACAACUACUACGCCAUCAUGUUAGUUGCCUCUACUAAUGGACAUGAUUAACGUCUUCUCUCUGUCUCUCUUUAUCUCUACUCGAUAUUUCUUGUCCUAUAUGAACUAAUGUGGGAUCUAGUGUAAUUUGGAAUUUAGGAAAUUUUAUCAUUUAUGAAUCCAAUAUUAUUGUCAUUUGGCAUGUUGAAACUUGUAUAUAUUGGACACAAUGGGAAUCCCAUUAAGGUAAAUGGGCCCUUUUCUAAUAGAUAUUUUUAUAAUAUU